Molecule: ribosomal RNA, 253 nt
Filed under: uncultured bacterium
Lineage: Bacteria
Description: partial 16S ribosomal RNA
Rfam family: Bacterial small subunit ribosomal RNA
Source: RNAcentral
UACGGGGGGGGCAAGCGUUGUUCGGAAUUACUGGGCGUAAAGGGCUCGUAGGUGGCCAACUAAGUCGGACGUGAAAUCCCUCGGCUUAACCGGGGAACUGCGUCCGAUACUGGUUGGCUUGAGUUUGGGAGAGGGAUGCGGAAUUCCAGGUGUAGCGGUGAAAUGCGUAGAUAUCUGGAGGAACACCGGUGGCGAAGGCGGCGAUCUGGGUCGAUACUGACGCUGAGGUGCGAAAGCGUGGGGAGCAAACAGG